Molecule: ribosomal RNA, 408 nt
Filed under: uncultured bacterium
Lineage: Bacteria
Description: partial 16S ribosomal RNA
Rfam family: Bacterial small subunit ribosomal RNA
Source: RNAcentral
GACGAACGCUGGCGGCGUGCUUAACACAUGCAAGUCGACAUGAGUGGCGAACAGGUGAGUAAUAUGUCGGUAACCUUCCCUCCUUUAUGGGAUAAGCCUUGGAAACGGGGUCUAAUACCGGCUAACGGGGGAGGGGCUCGCGGCGUAUCAGCUUGUUGGUGGGGUAAUGGCCUACCAAGGCGGUGCCGGGUAGCCGGCCUGAGAGGGUGACCGGCCACACUGGGACUGAGAUACGGCCCAGACUCCUACGGGAGGCAGCAGUGGGGAAUAUUGCACAAUGGACGAAAGCCUGAUGCAGCCACGCCGCGUGGGUGAAGAAGGCCUUCGGGUUGUAAAGCACUUUCAGCGGGGAGGCGUUACCCGCAGAAGAAGCACCGGCUAACUCCGUGCCAGCAGCCGCGGUAAUAC